RNAcentral lists this long non-coding RNA (28091 nucleotides) under Nicotiana benthamiana. Its description in RNAcentral is "long non-coding RNA (NBEN_LNC015684)". Lineage: Eukaryota; Viridiplantae; Streptophyta; Magnoliopsida; Solanales; Solanaceae. The record is from RNAcentral.
GCGGGUUCAAUAUAUGUGUUAGAAGCCCUUCAUUGUAUUAGAGACCAAGAAGCCGUCUUCCUCCUACAGCCCUAGGCCUCGCCGGCGGGGAACGCUAACUACGCCGAUGACCACCAAAAAUACACCAGCAAAUCUCCUUGUUCCCCUCUUUUCAACGCUAUACUCCGUUCCUCUCGAAUCAACGUCAAGCCCAUCGAAUAUUCUUUUGUAAUUUUCCGGCCAUGACGCCACCAUUCCUAAAUCGACCCAAAUUAAUCCCUUGGGUCCGUUUCUCUUUUUCUUACCCAAAUCCCAUGUCAAUUUUCCUCAAAUCCACUAGGAAAUGUUCGAAUUUCAAGUUGAUUGUUUCCGACCAGAACCCUAGAUAUGCCAAAUUGUGCCGAAUUGGCACCGUAUAAUACUCUCACCAUCUAUAUGAAGCUUCCAUCAUCUAAGGCGUUCAAACAUUAUGGAAAUGGGCCAAAUUUUGAGUUUGAAAUAGGCCGGUGAGUCUUUAGGUUUUCAGUACUUCUUUUUAGUUUAAUUAGCUGUGUUAAUUAAUCUAGGUUUAUCUUUGUUUGUCGUCUUGGUUCUGUGUUUGAUCAAUUGCCUUAGGUCGUAACAAUCGUUUGCUAAAGUUUUAGUCAUCUUGUCUAAGUUCAGUUUGAAUUUAAGAUUAGUUUAUUCAUUGUUUUGUGAUUAUUAGUUUCAGUAAUUAUCUUUUUCCUUUUCAAUUUGGCAUAAACGUGUGCCAGUUUUGAUUUUGCUAUAGCCAGUUUAAGUUUAUGACUUUGAUUUCGAUUUUGAUACUUGUUAGUGUCCAAUUUUAAUUGCCGUGUUUAGUUUUGUCAACCCUAUUUUUGAUUUCACGUUCUGAUUCGUUGUUCAUUUUUACUUCAUCUUUGUUUCUGAUUGUCAUUUUAAUUAGUAUACUGGAAUUUACUCCGUUUUGGUUCAAUAAGUUAGUUUAGGUUAUCACAGUAAGUUUGAUUUAGUAUCCCAUAUGUUAUUAUGAGCAAUUGAUUAAUUAGUGUAGGUGAUUUGAAAUUCAGCAAUUGGUUUAGCUUUAAAGGAUUGGUUAUAGUUGUUACCUCAACUAGUAUUAAGGGGAGUGGGGUCAGUUAACUAAGGGUAGUGUUGAUACCCAAUUUUUUCCUAUGUAUCUUGGUACCCAAAAUACUUUCAGAAUAGCUUUUGAAUGCAUAUAUAACAUCCACAAGAGGUUUGGUAUUUUCUAUAAUUUUUCAGGCAUUUUAAAACCAAUUUAUAACUUACUUUUGUACGGUAAAAUCUAAUAUUUAGUGUCAAAUCUUGUUAUUUUAAUAAAAAAAAUUAUUUUAAUCUCUCAUUUACAUAAAAAUAUAAUUUAUGUAAUUUUUACAGGGUUUUACAAAGCCAUUAGGUAUUUUUAAAUUAAAAUUGCAUUAAAUUGCAAUUUUAGCCUAUUUAUCAAUUUAACGACUAUUUCAAGUCUAAAAUUAUUCUUAGUAUUUUUAAUUAAUUUCUAAACGUAUUUUAUUAUCUCAAUAAUUUUAUUGGAUUUUUAUAGAAUGGUUUACUAUUUUUUAAAAUUAAAUUUGUGAAAAUUGGUUAUUUAAAUGGUAGCCUUUUGCUCUUUCAAUUAUAGCCACAUUUCACCCCCAAUUACCUAACCCAACCUAAAAAUUACCCGACCCCAAACCCAUCUAAACUAACCCGCCCCAUUCUUCUUUUAAUCCUGGUCGCUGAUCUCACAGAUCAACGACCCUCAAUUCACUUAUCUUAAUUAAACCCUCACAACCCCCUAACCCUAAUCAAUUACACCCAAACGGGCCGCCUUUCACUCCCAAAUAUCUCUAGUGUCUGUGAGAACCCUAGUCUUCUCCAGUCCUCUUCACCGGCGUCAAUGGCCAUUCAGGGCCUAAAACUUCCAUGCUCGUCCGUUCAUCACAUAUUCUGGCCUUUGGGUUCGAAGAUUGGGACUUUGUCUCGAGGGUAACUGGACCAGAACUCCUUCAAUGGAGUUUCAUGGCUGUUCUACGGUGAGCCUUUGAAGCCUUGGAUCUUUUCCAAGCUCCGAUGGGUCGUUCAUGCUUUUCUCGCCAUUUCUGAGGUUUUUUAUGAAAACCUUAAUGAUUCGAGGUUCCUCCUUUCAUUUUUCUCUAUGUUAUCUUACGAUUUUCUUUGAGUAAUAGGUGUUUUCUAAAACUUUUUAAGUGUUUCUCACCUCUUUCUUCACUUAGUCAUGAUUUCAAAACUGUUCGUUUUAGAACCUGGGGUUUUCUAGGACUUAUCCGAUUUCUUUGAUUUUUUGUUGUUUAUUCUUGCUACUAGGUGUUCUUCUCCGUGAUUUUGAAAUUUUCAAUUUUGGCUCUAAAGUUUUUUAUCUCACUGCCUACCUUUCUAGGGUUUUUGGUUAAAAUUGUUCUAUGCUUUCUUUAUAGUGUUCUGCUCUUGUUCGUUUUCAUCUAUGAUAUUCCUUGUGUUUUGACCGGUAGCGGGAAUCCUAAUCUCUAAAAGGUAUUCUCCAUUCCUUGUUCUGUGUGAAACCCUAGCCAGCCCUGUUUGCUUCUUGUGUUUGCUACCCGUCUGCUCUAUUAUUCGUUAGUCUCUAGUAUAUUCAAAACUUAUGCAUCUUUAUACUACUGCUUUUCCCCUUUCCCUGAAACCCUAAAAUUGAUUUUGUACAACUGUUUGUUUUGAUUCUCUAAUUGCUCCUUGUUUCUUGACUAUUUUCAAAAGAUUGAUAUCUUGACUCCUUGAUUUCCUGGGUGAUUACUUGCCUUAUAUGCCCUACCCAUGUGAUUUUCAAAUUUCUUAUGAGUAUUUACCCUAUAUUCUGUGAUUAAUACUAUAUUUUCUUUCCAAAAUUAGACCUGGGUUUAUUUAUUUUCCCAUUCGGUUCCUUAAUUGAAGGGGUUCCCUUCUCCUUAAUUGAUACUGAUGGAUUUCUGAAUAUUUCCUUACCUUACUGUUGCUUGUCUUUCAACUAUAAAUAGGCCCUCUCUUUUCUCACUUGAGAACAACUCAUUCUCGAGUCCUCUCUACUCUAGCUCACAAAAACUCUCUGCUUUUUCUCUUCCUUGCUACUUGCUAUCUCUCUGCUAAAGUUAGCCGGCUGAAAGCCAAGGCUAACUAUAAGGAUUUUCUUUGUUGUGUUACUCAAACCUGCACUAGUAGGCUCCUAACUCCAUUUAUUAACUUUCAAGUAUUUGUUUUCUCUCCCUUCUUCUUUGUCUGUUAGAACCUGCACUGGUAGGCUCCUAACUCAAUUUAUUAACUUUCAAGUAUUUGUUUGCUCUUCCUUCUUCUUUUUUUGUUAUGUUAUUGCAAUUAAGCUUGCAUGAUCAACCCCUUCCCCUUACCCUUUUGUCUUCCUGUAUUUGAGUGUCAGCAUGUCAAUUUCCUCCCCCCCCCCCUUCCCUUUGUCCCCUUAUCUGUAUAUGCUCAAGAUAGUCCUGAACCAUUACCCUUAACUGUGUAUACCUUCAGCAUGUUAAUCCCUGAUUCCCAUUUCCCCUUGGGUGCCUACAUUCAAUGUUUUGUUAAAUCCAGCAUAUUGAAUACUUUCCUUUGAUUGUACACUAUUAUGCUUUAAUUUAAUCUUGUCUGCUAAGUGUUUAUAUGAUUUCCUUGCUCCUUGUUUGUAUGUGAGUUGUUCUGGACAAGGGUGGCACCCUAUUGCCAUUUCUAGUUCAGAACUAAGGUUGCCAAUAGCCUUAUGCGUUUGAGACUGGAAAAAGGCAUGUUAGUGUCUUAAUCACCUUCCAGGCCCUUGUCUGGCUUCGGCUGUCAAUAGCCUUUCUCAAAGCAAUCCCAUCCCCCAUCCCCUCUCUUAUGUGUUUGAGCCUGGAAAAAGGCAUGUUGGUGUCUUAAUCACCUCCCAGUACCAUGUUUGACUUGUUUACAAGUCUGCUCUUGUUUGUAAUCUUUGUAAGGAGUCUGGGGUUUGCCAGUCUCAUUCAAUAGGCUGGGUAUGACCACUUCAUACACUGGUUUCCCUUUAAUCCUCANNNNNNNNNNNNNNNNNNNNNNNNNNNNNNNNNNNNNNNNNNNNNNNNNNNNNNNNNNNNNNNNNNNNNNNNNNNNNNNNNNNNNNNNNNNNNNNNNNNNNNNNNNNNNNNNNNNNNNNNNNNNNNNNNNNNNNNNNNNNNNNNNNNNNNNNNNNNNNNNNNNNNNNNNNNNNNNUACCCCUUUGGUAAGCCAUGCUUAGGGACCUUGGAGUCUCCUCUGAACUUGGAUGCCUUAGGGGUGGUAAUUCCACACUUGCACUAUUCCAAGUAGGGUGUAAACAAUGCCUGGAUCUCUUUGAAGGCCCUUGGAACUUUGUAGCACUCUAAAAGAGAAAAGCCUCGGAUCUUGGGAGCUCGGAUUUGGUAAAAGGAAUAUUGUUGGACAUUAAAGUUGCUUCGAGAUUCCUCGGGCCUGUUAGAGUUGCAGAUGUAUUUUAACUUUUUAUUUCUUUAGUGUUAUACGUUGGACAUUAAAGUUGCUUUGUGCUUCUUCGGGUCUGUUAUAGCAUUGAUGUACUUUACUCCUUUUAAUGUUAUUUUCUUGUCCAAACUUUUAUAAGUAACUUGUAAUAAAGAACUCUGUGAUCUAGUGAAAAGGGAAUAUGGGAGGGGUUUAUUUUCUUGCAUCAAUCUUAUAUAGAUACCAUGUUUAUAGGGUUUACUUUCUUGAAUCAUCUCAUAUAGUUAUCAUGUCUAUAAGGGUUUUCAUUAUUGCAGUAACAUCAUAUAGAAAACAUGCUUAUAAGAGUUUACUAUUGCAUCCACAUCAUAUAGAAAUCAUGACUAUAGGCUCAUUUAUAUUCACAUCAGUAGAAACCAUGUCUUAGGAUUUUUAUUUUAUCCAUGUAUACGGUUACCAUGCCUAUUUUUUGUUGAAGUAGAAACCAUAUCUUAGGACUUUCAUCUUACCCAUGUACACUGUUACCAUGCCUAUUUUAUGUUGUUGCAUCAAUCAUAUAGAUAUCAUGUCUAUAGGCUUCCGCAUUGCACCGACUUCAUACAGAAAUCAUGUUAUUAGGCUUGCAUCUUAUAAUGUCACCUAGAUAUCAUGCCUAUAGGAGUUAUCUAGAUGCUAGACAAAAUAGUAGGACGUCCAAUUGUAUAAGAGCAUCAAUUAAGGGGUUAGCAAGUAAGUUUAAGUCCAGACUCGUCCAAUGUUUUCUAAUGCCUAGUUUUCUUCAACUUAUCUUAAAUUGGUUUAUCUCAAACGAGUCUAGGUCUGCCCUUUUCGUAAUGUCAAGAGCCUACAAGCUGUUUUCUAUACUAAAUUGCUUAAGUUCAUGUGUUUAAGGUACUCCAAAACUUCUUUAAGGUCUUCUAAACUACUCUUCUUAUGGCUCCCUUUAUUCAAACUCAUAUGACUAAUUUAUAGCCCCUUUCUCCAACAUUUGUUUGUAGUUUUGAGUCUUUAACAGACUUCUGUUUGAAGCCUACAUUUUCUUUUCUAAAAAAUCGUCUGCAACUUUAAAUCUUUCCUAAACAGACCUUUGUAUGGAGUUAACGUUUUCUAAAGUUCAACAGAUUUUCUAAAAAUCUUGUCAACUUCUAAAACAGACCCGGAGGGCACAAAGCAGAUUUUCUAUCUAACUUUCAUAUGUCAAACCAUUCUGCCUACUCUCCUAACCUCUUUUAAAGACCAAAUCAGUAAUUGAAGUCCUGCUAAACUACUUGCUGUAUGUUACAUGGUUUACCUGAGCCUUUAAGUAUUUAUUUGCAUCCCCCUUAUCUGCUACUUGUUUUUUACUGUCACUCUAGUAUUCUUACCUUUGAAUACUCCAUAUAUGUAUCCUACUUCCUUCUCCCCCUUUCUUAGGAUUAGAGGUCCUAAUGCCCCAGGACUAACAGGUUGGGACGGGUAUUAGCAUGCAAUAAGUAAACGAUAUCAACGCAUUUCAAUACCUUAACAGGGUGGGAGGGUAGAAUAUGGAGAUGAUGACAAUGCGAUAAUAUCAUAAAGCGAUCCCUCUUUGGGAAUAUGUGCGGGAUAUUGUAUCGAAUGAUCCAUAUUAUAGUUAAACCUAGGACCCAUCUUUCUCUUCGUUCUUUAUUUAAAUGAUUUCUUAAUGCUUUUCAAACUAACUCUCUUCUAUUUCAAACUUAUGCCAUUUUCUUUAAAGCUUUCAAAUUAUAUGAAUAUUAUACAUGUGCACCUUAUUUGUCUACUUGCUUUGUCUUCUUUUUAAAGUCACAAUUAGCAUGGCCUGGAACCACAUUUGUGGAUCUUGAGGGGUGCCUAACACCUUCCCGUCGAGAUAAUUUCAAGCCCUUACCCAACUCUGGUUUUUCUCUCAAAAACACUCUCUUCAACUUAAAGUGUCCUAAUGCACUAUAAUCAUUAGGUGGCGACUCUUCCAAUUUCGUAACCCAAUUCUCAAACGGGAAAUAGAGUUGUUUUACCCAUAAUGUCAUAAAACUCAAUUUUGCUCAUGAAAAAGGGGGCAUCGACAGGUAGGUUAGUGAUUUCAGUAAGUGAAGGAGGGGUAACAUGGGUAAUCAAAUAGUGGAAUCUUGUAGUAACAAACUAUGAACACCCUAGAACAGUCUAAAAUAAGAAUUUAGUCGUAAUUUCAGGAAAUUAGGAUACUUACUUGAGUAACAAGUCAAUAAAUAGGGGACUAAUAUGAAAAUAAGGAAGGGACUAAGUUUGAAAAUAGAAAAAAUGGGACGCCCUCAUUUGUGCCCUAUAUAAGAGCAUGUCCUUUACUUCAUCAACAAGUUUGGAGCCUCAAAAAUUCCCCCAAACUCUCUUAGAAAAUCUUAGUAGAGUUGAAUUUGAAAUUAUCUUUUAGAUCAUAAUUUCUGCAGAAAACAACAGAACACAAAAAAAAAUAGAAAACUUCAAAAAAAAAGGGGUUAGAAAACUAUUCUAUCGAUGAAUCCUUAGGUUAAUUUCGAUUUAUAGUCACCAAUUCACAGAUUCUAGUUCAUUUUGAUGGUGUUUGAAAGUUCAGAGGCUGGCUAGGUUUGGUUUCGAAUGGUUUCGGGUCUAUUUGGUGUUGUUGUAGAUAGGUAUAUUGGUGCCAUAUGGGUUUUAAAGCAUUGUUGGACUGCAAACUGUUUCUGAGUUUUUUUUUAAAGUUCAUUCCUGGGUUGAUUAUUGCUGUAGGUGUUGUGCUGAUUCAUUCUAAGUUGUCCUGCUGUUGCUGCUUAUCAUCUGCCGUAGUUGAUCUCACUUUCUUUCUCAUUUGGCAAUUUCCAGGUAUAUAUACCAUUUGAAUCAUACGAUGUAAUGUAUGAUUUUAUGGAAUUGGAAUGGAAUCAUCUGCUGAACCUGCUUGCUUUCUGUUGUAGUUUGAUCCUAUUAAUUUUCGUUUUGUUAAUUGAAUUCCUAAUUAAACUAGACUGAUCGGACUAUACUAAAUUGAACACUUAAUGUGAGUAGGUCAGAUUGUUAAACUCUGAACCCUAUAACUUCAUUGAUGUAUGUUUGAACUCUUUUGGUAAUUGCAGUCGAGAAUCAGAAGUUGAGUUGAAUUAAUAUACAAUAUACUGUUUAGAUCUUGGCAUGGUAAAUGGCUUCGAUAAUAUUAGCCUAAGUUAGUUUUGAAAUAGUUGUUUGUUUGGGGGUUUUGAUCAACGCGCUUGUAUGUAGUGUGUAAUGAAACCACCAAUAGCGUAAUGUAUAGAAUAGGCAUAGAACUAGAAUCAAAUUAUUCAAUGUUCAAUUAAAAUUGAAUUGAGUACUAACUGAUAAGAGUUUCUUAGAAUUGCUAACUUGAAUCACAUGAAUUAAGGAAGCAAGAAUAAAUUUGGUUUUAAGUGUAAAGGGUGAUCUCUAUAACUCUAAGGAGAAGACAGUGCAAAUUACACAUAAUCACUUAUGUUUGUGUUGGUGAUCAACUUGGUUGUUUAGUAUUGUGCCUUCGCCCAGGCUCAUUCUCCGUUUAUUUUCUCCAAUUGCAACUAAAAUUGUAAGAUAUCUCUUGGGCCCAAUUUCUUCAAAGCAGGCCCAAAAGUGUCUGAUGUGUUGAAAAGAAUCCUUAAGCAUGCUUCAUUGUAUACAUCAUGAGCUACUGGGCUCAGACGUCAGGCCCAAACGUUUGUCUUCAGUCUUUAGUUGUCAUCUUUAUUUGUUGACUAUUAAAAUAAAGAUCCAAGGUAAAAAGCAUUAUUAAGAAAACCGUCUAUCAUAAAAUACCUGAUUGGUUUAUGAGAUUGAUAAAGGUUGCAUGACAUUUGUUUAAUAACCAAUUGGGAGCCUGAAGAAUCAAACCCCAAACCCUUUUGAACAAGAUCUGUCACGGUCCCUAAACGUUUGGGCUUCAAGCCUUUUUGUCAAAUAAGCCCAGGUCCGGUAAUGCUCUCCUUUACAUACAAGGACUUGGUGUCCAGCUUUGGUCCCCGUUUGGCCCAAAUGGAGCUCGUUUAUUUGUGCUCACAGGAGUUCAAACUCCCGACAUUCAAUUCGCCCCAGUUUCUUCUAGUUGAGCUCAUUGGCCUAGCCAUUUGGGACCAGUUCACUUUUUCCUUCAAAUAAUUUAUUUGGUAUUUGGAAUUCGGGUUUUGAUUUAGGUAGCGGAUUUUAAACUAAAAGGCUCGUCCUUUUGUUUGGGCCCGGGCUGAGACUUAAUGCCCGAAUUCUAAAUAUAAUUAAUUAGGAAUUUUUCUCUCCUUUUAGAGACAAAAACAAAAAUAGAAAAUAUAGCCGCUUUUAGGAUUAUCCUUUAAAAUAAAAUGAGACAAGCGUCGCCCGAUAAAAUACAAAAUUGCGGGGCCCUCAAUAAAGGCUUAAAAAUAUUUUAGAAAUUGGGAGGGGACGUGUAGCGAAUUUCACGGCUCUCCCAAAAGAUUACAAUGCGCUAUGAUGCACGUCUUUAAUAAAUUACAUUCCUAAAUAUGGGUGGGCAUCUUAUGCGGCCCAAAUCCAAAUCCUAAAGCGUUGAAUAGAGUGUGCCUAGGAUUGCGGGUUCAUUUGAUGAGGCGCAAUCCGAAAACACACUUUAAGUGACGUUCACUUUCUCUUAAAUAAAUACAUAUUAAAUAAAAGCGGUUAAGCAUAAAAUUGGCACAUAGUCUCUUCGUGUAAUAAAAUCAUAUAAAAAGCUAGAUGCAAUAGUUGAGCGACCGUGCUAGAACUACGGAACCCGGGAAUGCCUAACACCUUCUCCCGGGUUAACNNNNNNNNNNNNNNNNNNNNNNNNNNNNNNNNNNNNNNNNNNNNNNNNNNNNNNNNNNNNNNNNNNNNNNNNNNNNNNNNNNNNNNNNNNNNNNNNNNNNNNNNNNNGAUGCCAAGAAAGAAAUUGUUGGGAUUCAAUCGGUGACUUGGGACACCAUUAAUCUCCCAAGUGGCGACUCUGAAUAAUUAAUAACCAAAUCUCAUUCUGAUUGUCCUUUAAUUGGAAAAACUCCUUUAUGCCCUUUUGGGGGGGUGUACAGUGAAAAAGGAGAUGUGACAAUGAUUUAUUUAUUAAUAUAAAAAUAUUUAUAAUUUGACUAAUUUACCUUAUAAAUAUGUUCUUUUAUUUAACGUAUCCUUUAAUAAUAAAAAAUGUAAACUCAAUUGCACCGACGCGGCCUGGCGUGGCUUUGCCCAAUCGUAACUUCUACAUCAUAGACAAUCAAAGCUUCUUUGUCAUUUUGAAAUUAUAGCCUGCGCUAUGGGCGGACAAACUUAAAGAAUCUUAUGAAAUUAUGAUCUGAUAUAUCAUAAUAUUAUUUUAAUAAAUUUUAGUUGCUAGUCUAUUCUAUAAUACAGUAUGCAAAAAUAUAACAAAUUUAUAUAAUCAAAGGAUACACAUAUGGUAAUUAUAUAAAUGAUAUCUAAUUCUUAUUUUAUUUUUUUAUUAAAUUAACAAGUACUUAGUAUUAAGUAUUUACUAAUGUGACUUUUUAUUAACUUGUCAAUUGGCUUAAUAUUUUGUCACUACUUUACUAUAAUAAAUAUAGAUAUAUAUUUCUUACUCUAAAAAUAUUUUUUCGUAACAUAAUAUACAUAUAUAAUUUCUUACUCUAAAAAUAUCUUUAUUAUUUUUACAAUUUAAAAUUCUUUAAUUGUCUAAAGUUAUCAAUGUAUUUUUUGAGUUCAAUUUACUUACCUCUUAUUUUUAUAAUUAACUUAAAUUAUAAAUAUUCUAAUAUUAUAUUUAUCUCUCUCUUUUUAUACAUUCUUUUCUACUAUAAUACUUGAUUAAUUUUCUCAAUUUGCAUUCUACUUGUAAUUAAAAUUAUGUAAUAUCAUUUUUUUGUUAAAUUAUAACUUUGAAUUCAUCAUAAAUAUAAAAAUAUAAACCUUUAAUUUUUUUAAAAUAUACUAAUAUUUUUAAUAAUUGUUAUUUUGUAGUAUAUAUAUAAUAUUCUUAUCUUAUGCAUAAAUAUCCAAAAAUAUUUUUUUAUAAUUACUUUUUAUGAUUUAUAUUCUUCAAUUUAAUAACUAAAACUUUCUAUAUGAAAAAAAUAAUUAUUAUAUACAGUUUAUGUUAUCGCUUGUAGUUCUUCAUUUCUUUAUUAUUCUUCCUUUAUGACUCUUUGUUUAAUUUCAAUUAUGAGUAUAUGUACGAAUUUUCUCAUCAUAAUUCUACUUAUAAGUCUAUAUUUAUAUAAUUGUUUCUAAAAAAAAUUGUUCUUUGCUUAUUCUAAUUAUAUUAUCUGUUACAUGGUACUAUCAAAUUAUGACAUGAAAUUUUUAAUAACUUGUCAUAUUUUUUUUGGUAAUUAAGGAUUUCAUUAAUCACCAAUGAAAUAACAUCACAAAAACCAUAGUCUAGCUUUAACUCAGCUGACUAUCUCUAAUAUAACAAUUUAAACUGUAUCUAAUGUCCUAGCUACCUAACAAUACUAUAUUUGAAUAUGUUGUAAGUGGUUUCUAAUUCGUGGGGUACCUCUAACAUUACAAGUAUAUACUAUGUCUCUCAAAAGGGCUUCAUUUCAACGAAAUGUCUUGUUGAAGAUUCUUGAGUUCCUUUCCAGCCAGAUAGUAUAUGCAAACUCAGCAACUACCAUUUUGAAGAUGGCCCAUUGCAACAAAAUGUCUUGUUGAAGAUUCUUGAGUUCCUUUCCGGCCAGAUAGUAUAUGCAAACUCAGCAACUACCAUUUUGAAGAUGGCUGCUCGACAUGUUCGACCCUUGGUUUUGCUUACGAGCCACUGCAUUCUCUGGUUCCAGGCAGUGAGGUGAGGAUAAGUCUCCUUCAGCCAGCGCAUUAUUUUCUCCCAUAAUUCAAUAGUGACUGGGCAGAAUAGUAAUAAGUGAUCUCUGGUCUCUGGAUGGUUUUGGCAUAAGUUACAUUGCUGAUCAACACUCAUUCCCCAGUUGUGCAAUCUAUCUUUUGUUGGUAAUCUAUCUUGUAAGAACAGUCAUAGAUUGAAAGUUGCCUUUGGCCUUGCAUAGUUUUGUAUGAUCAAAUUCUUCCACGGGACUCUCGGCAGGUCUUGAAGCUGUAAAUGGUAUAGUUGUCUAACUGAGUAGCCCUGCUCCUUCCAGUGUUGAAACCUCUGCAAAACUUCUCUCGAUUGGAUGAUCUUUCUGACCAUCCAACAUGCAUGUGCAGGAAUUGGCAUGGUUUCAAUAGGUCUGUUUUUGAUGUAGUAUACAGUGAUCCAUCUAAUCCACAAUUUGUCCUUUUUAUGAGCUAGAUCCCAGCAUGUCUUUGCAAUGCCAGCUUUAUUCCAGAGCUUGAGAUUAGUGAGAUUCAUCCCUCCUGCUGAUUUUUGGGUACACAUUCUUCCCCAGGAGAUGUAUGCUUCCCUAGUGAUAGAGUUCAUCCCAGACCAGAUGAAGCUCCUACAAAUGGCUUCUAUCAUCUUCAGGACUUCAACAGGGAAUAUGAACAGUUAUGCCCAGUAAGCUUGGAUACUAAAAAUGACAUAUUGGACCAGUUGGAUUCUCCCAGUAUAAGACAAUGUCUUGGCAGUUCAUGAGGUGAUCCUGGCAGUGAUCCUUUCUGCCAGAGGUUUCCAUUGGAGCAAUGUGAUUUUCUUGGUGGAUAGGGGGACACCUGGGUACUUGAAUGGUAACUCACCUUGCUCAUAGCCAAGGUGGUCGAUAAUUUGUUUCUGAAUAUCCAGUGCAACACCACUAAAGUAAACAGAGCUCUUGUUCAGGUUAGCCUGUAAGCCAGAUGCUUCAGAGAAUUGAGAGAAGCGUGCGGAUAAGGCUAUGACAAAGGUAGUGUCACCUUUGGCAAACAUCAGCAAAUCAUCAGCAAAACACAUGUGAGUAAUACCUAGUUUUUUACAUCUGGGGUGGUACUGAUAUGCUGGAUUUCCCUUUAGUGAGUUGCAUGAUCUGCUCAAGUACUCCAUGACCAGAGCAAAUAGGAAGGGGAAAUAGAGUCCCCUUGCCGUUUCCUUUAGUGAGUUUCAUGAUCAGCUCAAGUACUCCAUGACCAGAGCAAAUAGGAAGGAGAAAUAGGGUCCCCUUGCCUAAGCCCCCUAGCAGCAGCGAAGGGUUCAAUUGCCUCUCAAUCGACUAGCACGGAGAAGCUCACUGUUGAGAUGCAUUCCAUUAUCCAUUUGGUGAAUUUGCCGGGGAAACCAAUCUGUUCCAUAACCUUCUAUAAGAAUGUCCAUUCUACUGAGUCAUAGGCUUUCUGGAGGUCAAUUUUAAUCAUGCAUCUGGGUGACACUUGUUGUCUGGUGUAGCUUUUGACUAGUUCGUGUGCCAGAAUGAUAUUGUAUGUUAUGUUUAUGCCUGGAAUAAACCCUGCUUGGGCUUCAUUGAUAAUGAUUGCCAUCACCUUCUGCAUCCUAUUGGCCAGUAUUUUUUAGAUCAUUUUAUAUAGGACAGAGCAGCAAGCAAUUGGCCUAUACUCUUUGACUGUAGUUGGUUUGGACACUUUAGGANNNNNNNNNNNNNNNNNNNNNNNNNNNNNNNNNNNNNNNNNNNNNNNNNNNNNNNNNNNNNNNNNNNNNNNNNNNNNNNNNNNNNNNNNNNNNNNNNNNNNNNNNNNNNNNNNNNNNNNNNNNNNNNNNNNNNNNNNNNNNNNNNNNNNNNNNNNNUGACUGUAGUUGGUUUGGACACUUUAGGAAUUAGGGUAAUAGUGGCACAGUUGAUGGGUUUGUACAUCUUGGUUGAGGAGAAAAACUGCUUGAUGCCAUUAGUAACAUGCCUGCCAAUGAUUCUCCAGCUCUUUUUGAAAAAAACAGCAUUGUAACUAUCUAACCCUGGUGCUUUGUCAUCUCCAAUAGCCUUGAGACUCUCCACAAUUUCCAUAUCAGUUACAUCAGCACAUAGAUCCCUUCUUUGUUGUUGUGUUAGCUUUGGUCCAUUUGUCAUGUACAUUUGAUUUAUAGCUGGCAGGGUGGAUACAGAAGUUCCCAUCAGUGCCUUGUAGAAUCCAAUGAUCUCCUUUUUGAUAUCUUCAACUGUAGUGAUUUUGGUACCCAUUGUAUUUGUAAGUUCAGUAAUCUGGUUGUGUUGAGUUCUCUCCUUCAUGACUACAAGAAAUAUUUAGUGUUGGAGUCUCCAAGCUGUAUCCAUUUUGCUCUGGCCUUCUGCUGCAGAACACUUUCCUCAAUCAUUGACCAUUUUUCCAGUUUCAGCACUAGCUCCUUCUCCUUCUGCUGCAAGACAUCAGAGUAUGCUUGUGUCAUCUGAACUUGUAUUGUCCCUAGUUCCUGUCUGCUAAGGUCUAUUCUCUGUGAGAUAGUCUUGAAUUCCUUAAUAUUUAGGUCUUUCAGAGGAUUUUUUAGAGCUUUGAGUUUAGACCAUAUGGCUUUCAUAGUGCUUGAAUUUCCAGUAUGCCAAACACUUGCCACAAUCUGAUGGAAAUCUUCAUGAUCAGCCUAUACAUUAAAGAACUUGAAAGGUUUUUUUCCAUUCCACGAAGAUGAUGUCAAUGUCACUAUCAUGGGAUUAUGAUCUGAUAUUAGAGGAAGAUCAUAUUCANNNNNNNNNNNNNNNNNNNNNNNNNNNNNNNNNNNNNNNNNNNNNNNNNNNNNNNNNNNNNNNNNNNNNNNNNNNNNNNNNNNNNNNNNNNNNNNNNNNNNNNNNNNNNNNNNNNNNNNNNNNNNNNNNUUACCACUUGGCUCCACUUGAUCAUCCAUUCAUAGUUACCGAAUACCCUAUCCAGUCUGCUGCAUACUCUGUCCACUCCAGUCUGCUUAUUUAUCCAGGUGUAGUAUUCACCCCUCCAAGGCAAUUCUGACAAUCCAGCUUGUUGAUUACAUUUACUGAAGUCUUGGGUUUCAGGGAGUCUUACAGGUUUGCAAGACUGCCUAUCUUUGUCACAUAAGAUAGCAUUGAAAUCUCCAGCAACUACCCAUAGGUCUUGCAUCCCUGAUGAUAGUGUUUGGAGGCUGCUCCAUAGUGAUCUUCUUUGCUUCAACCCAUUGAAGCCAUACACCACAGUGAGGAGGCAUGUGAAGUCCUCUGUCCUGCUUCUAACCUUGCUAUGUAUCAAUUGGCUUUCCUCCAGAAUACUAGUGACUUCGAACACUUUUAGGUUCUUCUGUCCUACUUCUAACCUUGCUAUGUAUCAAUUGGCUUUCCUCCAGAAUACUAGUAACUUCAAACACUUUUGGGUUCCAUAGAAUCCACACUCUGCCCUUUUCACCAGAGACCUAGCUUGUUAAAAUGCCCCAUCCUGGUGCUAGUAGGUUAGCAAUUCUACUAGCAUGCAUUUGUUUUACCUUAGUNNNNNNNNNNNNNNNNNNNNNNNNNNNNNNNNNNNNNNNNNNNNNNNNNNNNNNNNNNNNNNNNNNNNNNNNNNNNNNNNNNNNNNNNNNNNNNNNNNNNNNNNNNNNNNNNNNNNNNNNNNNNNNNNNNNNNNNNNNNNNNNNNNNNNNNNNNNNNNNNNNNNNNNNNNNNNNNNNNNNNNGUUCCCCUGGAGGGUCUUCUUUACUACAAGAAACUACCUCAAACCUAUUACUGACAGUGAUGGGGGACAAAGGUGGGAAAUUAGUGAUGUUGAAAACUGGGCUCUAAGGUUGUUUCCUUUAUCUUUUUGGCUUCCUUUGUCAACCAUCUGGCUCUAGACAAUCUUGGUUUCAGUAGGGACUCCCUUUGGUUCAUUAUGCUGUACUGGUAAUUGUUUCUGUAGUGGCACAUUUUGCACAAGGCCCUUAGUUCUCCAUUCCUGGACUACCUUUGGUUUCCACACUUGUGUGUGCUGUUUUGUGAUUUGCUUUGGCUGCACUGCACAGUUGUGUCCUAUUGUUUGGCAUUUAUCACAAUAGGAGGGCUUCCACUCAUAAACCACCUCUUGAAGGAACUUUUUCCCAUUCGGAUCCAUAACCCAUAUCUCUGUUGGCAGUUCUUUAGUGACAGUCACCUCUAUGAGCAUUCUGGCGUAGCAAAUCCUUGUCUGUUUUGCUGUACAUUCAUCUGCAAAAAUUGGUUUCCCUAAUACGCUAGCAAUUCUGCUUAGAGAUCUCAUACCCCAGCAAGACAUUGGAGUUUCAGGAACUUUACCAAUAUAAUAGGCUUUCUAGAGGUNNNNNNNNNNNNNNNNNNNNNNNNNNNNNNNNNNNNNNNNNNNNNNNNNNNNNNNNNNNNNNNNNNNNNNNNNNNNNNNNNNNNNNNNNNNNNAAAGUCGAAGUCAGGUGUCCAUUGCUUGAGUAUCAUAGGCCUAUUGGCUAUUGAGUAAGGUCCUGCACAUAGUAUCUCUUUGGCGUCAGAAAUUGUUCUGAAUUUCACAAUGUAAUAUCCUUCUUCAUGGUAGAACAAAUCUGGCUUUGGGACAUGUGACCAGUGAUGAUUGAUGAAUCUCUUCAUUGCAUUGAAGCCAGUCCCAUCUCCUAGGAUGUAUACCACUAAGGCACACUUCCAUUUUGCUUCUUCCUCUUCUACCUCCGAUUUAUUCAGUUGUACUAUAGGUUGCCCGUCAAUCAUCACAGGGGGUAUGUAGUCAAGAGCCAUUCCAUGGGUCGCAAAUCGAUUCUUCUGGAAUAGGGUUGUCCAGCUCUUCUUAGGCUCCACUAAGGUGCUUCUGCUAGUAUCUGGGUGUUCCUUUAUCACCGUUGCUGGCUGCAUGGUCAUCUCUUCCGAUGGAUCUGGAACUGCUGGAAUCGGAGGAGAUGUAGCCACUUUGACACCUACUGCAGUCGGAGUUUCCAUAGUCGUGUCAUCCAUACUCUCUGUCGAUGGAUAUGGAACUGCUAGAAUCGGAGGAGUUGUAGCCACUUCGACAACUGCUGCAGUCGGAGUUUCCAUAGUCGUGCCAUCCAUACCUACCAUUGCAUCUUGCUGCACUACCACUACAUUUGCAGCUUGCUCAUCUGCUUCCAUGGCGUCUAGGUUUUGUACAAAGGGAUUCUGCAUAUCGUUGGUAUCCUUCUUCUCCAAAAUCAGUUGGUUUAGCUUUUCAAAGGUUUCUAUCGGUAUCUUCCACGGUCGACCUCUGCCGCAGCUGCCGCCUUUCGCCAUAUCUACGAGCUCGGCGUACGUUAUGCUAACGUGCGCCGAGAGGAAAGGAGAGAGACGGUAAUAACUUGCCAUAUUGAUAUCAUAAAAUAAAUACAGUUUUGUAUUACUCAUAAAAUUUAACCUGACUUUAUCUUGAUGAUUAUUUCUCAGAAUUCUCUCAUUGUUCAAAAUUUAUCAAUAAUAUUUUUUAGUAUUAUUUAUUUACUUAUUUUUUGUCAAAUAAAUUAAUAGUAUAGAUAAAAUCAUAUUAUCUUUAUUUUUGUUUUUAUAUAUUAUUUUUUUCUACAAAAUUUUAAAUUAUUUUAUGUAGAUUUUAUCUAUAAUAUGAAUAUUGUUAUAUUAUUUUUCUAAAUUCGUGAUGUUGAAUUAGUUCAAAGUUUAAACAGAGAAAUUUGUUUGUUAUAAGUUAUAAAUCUACUAACAACUGUAAUAAUUAUUAUUUUAGUAUCACUUUUAAUAAGCAGUUAAAUUAAAUUCUCCUUUGUAGUUAGUAUAAAAGCUGAAUUUAAAUAUUUUAUUAAAAUUGAUACACAAAAAAUUAUAUUAUUUCUUUAUAUUUUUAUUUUUUUCUUAGAAUUAUUUCAAUAUUUUUUAUUUUAGUUACGUGAUCUUAUCUGUAUAGCAAGAUCAUACGAAUUAUUUCAUAAAAAAUCUCAUCUCAAAGAUCAAAUGAGUCUUAUACUUUUAUAUAUCUCAACACCGAAAUUUAUAAUUACAUAUUUUCUCCCUUUUUUUAGUUUCUUGUCCAUUUCAUUAAGUUACCUAUCAUUUAGGAUUAUUGAUAUCUUUCACUACUCUCAUUAUAACAAUGAUUUUGAUUUUUUUUUAUAAAUUGGAUGAUAUAUAUAUAUAUACAUAUAUAUAUAUAUAUACAUAUAUAUGUAUAUAUGUAUAUGUAUAUGUAUAUAUGUAUAUAUAUACAUAUAUACAUAUACAUAUACAUAUAUACAUAUAUAUGUAUACAUAGAUAUAUGUAUAUAUAUAUAUAUAUAUNNNNNNNNNNNNNNNNNNNNNNNNNNNNNNNNNNNNNNNNNNNAUAUAUAUAUAUAUAUAUACAUAUAUCUAUGUAUACAUAUAUAUGUAUAUAUGUAUAUGUAUAUGUAUAUAUGUAUAUAUAUACAUAUAUACAUAUACAUAUACAUAUAUACAUAUAUAUGUAUACAUAUAUAUAUGUAUAUAUAUAUAUAUAUAUAUAUGUAUGUAUUAGCUAAAGGAAGCCACCCUGUCAGGACAGUUUGUGAGGUAUUUUAGAGCCCCUAAUGAUACAAUAUUUUGCAUAAUAGUGUUUAAAUUACAGUCUAAAAAGGAUCUAGGUAGUUUAGUUCCUAGGAUGUCUGCCCAAAAUACAUCAUUGGCAAACACCGGAGGAACUGCUAGUAUUAAAGAGUUACACAAAAAGUCUUCUCAAGUUGCUUCCUUUGCGAGUGUAUCAGCCACCCUAUUUUUCUCCUUGUAGACAUGCUUCACCACUGCACUUCCCAUCCUUUGAAUCAAUAACAUGCAUUCACAAAUUAAAGGUUCAAAUGUUAGAUUACCAUGUAUAAGCAUGUUGAUAGUUUCAGCUGAGUUAGUGUUAAUCUCCAGCCGCAAUAGAUUGUUUUGUUCUGCCAAUUGGAGACCUUUGGCAAUGGCCCUGAUUUCUGCCCCUGUAUUUGUGGUGAAGGGGAUGUUUUCCAUGAAACCCAAUAUCCAUUCCCCAUUGUGGUUUCUGAAAACCCCUCAUAUACCUCCUACUCCCAGAUUCGUUUUUGCUGCGCCAUCUGUGUUCAGCUUGGAAGAGUCUCUUGGUGGAGGCCACCAUUUUAGCAUAUUUUGGUGUUUGACUUUUGCUUGCUUGUUAUCUCUCAGAACACGUAAUUCAGUUGCCUUUACUAUGGUAUUGGUAGCACUGAUUAUGUCUUUUUUAUUGUUAAAAACAUUACUAUUUCUGUUUAGCGAGAUGUGCCAAAGACAGAAUGGUGGAAUAUUAAUCCAAGAGAAGUUUUCAUUCAAUUUUAAAUCUCUACCUUUUUCCAUAACUGCAUCCCAUGACAUAUUGUGUAGUCCAGGGCUUGUUACAAAGGGGGUUGUGGCUUUAUCCUGGAUUGAGCUCCAGAAUUGAAUGGCAUUGGGGCAUUGGGAGAAUAUAUGGUCAAUAUCCUCCUUAGCAGCUCCACAAAAGUGGCAAUAUUGGGGGGCAUCCCAGCAUUGAGUGAAGGAAACUUCUUGUUGGCAGUCUUCUGUGGGGCAGAAGCCAUAUGAAGUUUUUUUAUUUUAUUGGGUAUAUAGAGCUUCCUAUGAUAUGGAGAGGAGGUGUUUUGGUCAGAAUUGUUAAGGAUGAAAUAGGCAGUAGAGAUUGAAAAUAGUGCAUUGGAUUUGAGGUCCCAGAUUAGGUUAUCCUCCUUGGUGGAUAGACCGUGAAUGAAUGUAGACCCCAAAAGGUCAUGGAUAUGCCGAGGGAGUUGGAAUGAUAGGAUUGAAGUGUUCCAUUAGCCCAUUUGGAGCACUGAGGCAACUUGAUGUCACUAUAAUUUUGGUUCUGUGCCACUGAAUUAGGUCUCUUAGUGCUGGUUGAUUUGGAAUCCAUUUAUCAUUAAAGAAAUUAACUUUAUUUCCUUUGUGGACUACCCACCUACUUCCUUUGUUACAAAUUUUCCAGCUUUCAGCAUGCUCUUGCAAGUUGGGGAGUACUAAGAUCUAUUCUGUCUCAGGCCCAUAUUGGGUCUUGAUAUGUUGCAAUGCUUGUGGAUCAGCACUCUAGCCCAAAGAGAGUUGGUGUUUUUAUAGGCUAUCCAAGCAAGGUUUUCAAGGGAUGCUUGAUUUUUAAGGCUUGACUUUUGAAGGACUAGCCCCCUUUCUUAUUUGGUUUUAGUCACUACAUCCUAUUUAACUAGAUGUAUUUUCCUUUUCUCUAGGGUGGUGCCCCAGAUGAAAUUCCUUUGGAGAUUGUCAAUCUGUUUAGUGACCUUGGUGGGUGGGGUGAUGUAUUGCAUUACAUGAUUAGGGAUACUAUUAAGGUUUGACUUAUCCAAGACAGUUCUCCCUGCCAUGUUGAGGCAUUUGGACUUCCAGCCAGCCUGCUUGGAGUGUCCAAGAUGAAUUGGAACUUUGUUGUUGUUUUCCUCUUAUGGAAGACGGGGAAAGCCAGAUAUUUCCCAAAAGUGGUGGAUUGCCUAAUGGAGAGAGUGGAGUAUAUGAUCUGGGAGGAGGCUUGACUGCUGUUAGAGAAUAAUAGCACCCUUGAUUUGGAAAAGUUGAACUUAUGUCCUGACUGUGAGUUAAAAUCUUCUAGAAUGGCCAGAUAGAGGAGCAAUUUUUUAUGUUGGCUCUAGCAAAGAGAGUAAGGUCGUCAGCAAAAAAUAUGUGUGAAAUCUUUGGACCUGACUUACUUAUACUAAUGGGAUCCCACUGGUUUAGGUGAACUGCUUGAUCAAUGGAUCUAGAAAGUCUUUCCAUACACAGGAUGAAAAAGUAGGGUGACAUGGGGUCCCCUUGUCUGAUUCCUCUUGAGGGGUUGAAUGGCUUAGUUUUGCCUCCAUUGAGAAGUAUGGAUAUAUAAGAUGAGCUAACACAUGACAUGAUGAGCUUAGUUAGAUUCACUGGGAAAUUAAAGGCAUGAUGUGUGUCCCUAAUGAAGGACCAUUCUAGCCUUUUAAAGGCCUUUUCCAUGUCAAUUUUCGGAAUCAUAUUUUCCAAUCUACCCUUCAUUUUCCUAAGUGGUUUAUGUAUUCAUGGACUAUGACUGCAUUAUCACAAGCCCUCCUACUACUAGGGAAGCUGUCUUAGUUGGGCCCUAUGAUGCUAUUGAGAAUGGGCUUGAUUCUACUUACAAUGAUCUUUGUAACUGUCUUGUAAAUUGUUUUACAAAAACCAAUUGGCCUGAAGUUUUUGAUCAUUGAUGCUUGGGGGACCUUUGGGAUUAGGCAAACCAGAGUUUGGUUCGUGGUGGUGUCCAUUGUGGAUGUGCUGAAACAAUUCAGACAGAAUUGAUUGACAGGCUCACAAACCAAAUCCCAGUACUUUUGGAAGAAAAAGGGGUGCAGCCCAUCUGGUCCUGGGGCCUUGAAGUGCUUAUUGGAGAACACAACUCUUUUGAUUUCCUCCAAUUGAGGAGGUCUAUCCAUGAGGGUCCUAUGGCUUUGGAGAAUAAUUGGGCCCAGGGUAGAAUGACUUGUGCUUUUCCAUGGAACUUGGGCAAUUGAUGUGGUGUAGAGAUUGGAGAAGAAGUCUGUAACUGCUGAGCUAAUCUCAUUAGGAUUAGUGAUCCAGUUACCAAUGUCUUCCUUUUGGGAUAGGAUCCUGGUUAUUCUUCUUCUGUUUAAAGUAGAAGUGUGGAAGAUAUUUGUGAUGGCUAUCACGUUCUUGAAGCCAGCUGAUUCUAGACUCCGAUUUCCAGAAGUCCUCCUCAUUCUUAAGGAUGAGGUUCAGCUCAUUGUUUAGGUUAAUUUCCAAGUUUGAAGAAAGGUACUGAAUUGGUAGUUGUUGGAUAUUUGGAUUCCAUCAAUUUUGGAAAGAGCCUUUUUUGGUGGAAUAUGUUGCCAAAGACCUCCUUAUUCCAAACAGUUUCCAGCUUUUUAAAAUUAUCAAUGGAGUGGAGCAGGUUGGACCUUCCUUGGAACGCCUUGUUAAUGAUAUUGGGGAAGCCAGAGUGGCUAGACCACAUGGUUCCAAACAUGAAGGGCCUAGAGUGGAUAUUUAUUGGGGGUCCAUCCAUUUGGAUUUUAAGGGGACGAUGGUCUGAGUGGGUCCUGGGUAGGUGCAGCAUAGUAGCCUCAUGGUGUUUUUUGAUCCACCCUUCAUUUGCAAAGCACCUAUCAAUCCUUUUCAGGAUUAAUGUACUACGGCUUGUGUAUCUUUUAUUAAACCAAGUUUAUUUACUACCCUUGUACCCCAGGUCAAUAAGAUUACAUGUAUUGAUACAUUUCCAAAACAGGUUACUACGGUUUAAGUUUAUAGGGUUGCCCCCAAACUUAUCCCUAGAUUUUAGGACUUAAUUGAAGUCACCUCCAAUGAACUAGUUGCCACUAGAGGUGCCACCUAUGGUUUGGAACUGUUCCCAUAGUAGUUUCCUAUUAGCAAUAUGAUUACUUGAAUAUAUUUCAGAAAAAAGCCAUGGAGGGUUAUCUGGAUUUACCUUCACCAUAGCAUGAAUUGCUUGUGGAAUGGUGACCACCUCGUCCAGAGUUACCAUAUCUUCUUUCCACGUGAAUAUAAUACCACCUGAUGAGCCUAUUGUAGGAGACUAGAUUAUCAUUUCAAACCAUAGGUUUUGGGCCAGAUUUCGGUGGUUGGCCAUCUUGGUUUCAAGGAGAACCAGCAUAGGAGGCUUGUGAAGCUUUACCAUUUCCAGACAACGCCUCUUAAAUUCUGCUCCAUUGCCCAUCUAACAUUCCAAAUUAUGUAAUCCAUUAAAGGGAUGGGGUUGGAUAGUGGUGGUGCCACCUCAUUCGGACUCGGAGGACUUUGCAUGUUGGGCACUUUGGGGGGAGGAUAUUUUCUCUUCAGAUUUAGUAAAGGGGUUAAUUUCAGUACCUGCUUCAGCUGACCUUAGGAAUGAGCUAGGGUUAGGCUCAGUUCACAUUUGGACAUCACCCUGGGACAUAGAACCACCAUUAUUUCGCUCACCUGGGUACUGAGCUCGAUCAACCUCACAGAGUCUAGGAGCAAGGAGUCUGUGGCUGUGGCUGUGGCUGUGAAGCUCUGCUCUGGUUCGUCCAUCGCAUUAAUCCACUUGAGAAUCUCCAGUGCUAUGGUGAUUUCCCUGCUGAUAUUUUUUGGUGGAGGUGGUGGGGAAGGGUUCUUCAAUGGUGAGGACUUGUUUGAAGUUAUGUUUGGUAGUAGUGAAGGACGGUUCCACUGCCAGAUCCUCUUUUGACAGGUCCAGAAAUAAGGGUAGUGUUUGGUAGCAUUGGAAGAGGUGACUGUUUAGGGCUUGGGGGUCUAUUAUCGGGUAGGGGUGUGCAUUUGAUUUAUCGAUUCGAUUUUGACCUUAUCGAUAAUUACUUAUCGAUUAUCGAUUUGUACAUAUGCUUAUCAUACUUGUUCCAAUAAGGUUUCGAUUUUUUCUAUUUCGAUUUAUUGAUUUUUGGGGCUUACUGAUUCGGUUAUCAUAUGCUUAUCAUUAUCAUUUCAAUAAGGUUUCGAAUUUCAAUUUAUCAAUUUUGCUGGCGUAUCAAUUCGGUUAUCAAUUACACCAAUAAGAAAAUUUAUGGGAUUACACGUAAAGUGUAUCGCUAUAAAUGCGCCUAACUAAUAUGGACAAAAAGAAGCUAAAAUUAAAUGAACACCAUUUAUAACAUAAAAAUUGUGUCAACAAGUACAUGCAACAAAACUAAAGUAAGGGAUCAAAUGUAUGUCACGAACACUCCAAUAGUAUAAAAAAAUACAUCAUCACGGGUAAUUCUAUUUUCUAUCAAUCUGAACUUCAUUCCUAUAUGCCACAAACACUCCAACGAUAUAAAAAAAAACAAAAUAAAAUACAUCAUCACGGGCUAAUGCUGUUUUCCGUUAUUUUGAACUCCAUUCCCUUAAUCUUUAAAUGUGAUCAUUGCUUAAAUGUGGUAGAUAAAAUAAUAGGGUAAGGGACUUAGGGUAAAGGAUAGGGUAUAGAUUAGGGAAAAAUGAUAUUGUAUAGACGCUUUCAAAAUAGUAGCGGAAUUUAUAUACAUUCUGUAUGUUAUAUUAAUAUACACAAAUAGGUAAUUACUCAUUUUACAAGUGUCUACAGUCUAGAGGUGUGCAUUCGAUUUAUCGAUUUGAUUUUGACCCUUAUCGAUUAUCGAUUUGUAUAUAUGGUUAUCGUUAUUUUUUCAAUAAGGUUUCAAUUUUUUCGAUUUCGAUUUCAAUAAAAAAUAAUCGAUUCGAUUUAUCGAUAAACCUAUUCGAAUGCACACCCCUAUUAUCAGGUUCACACUGUCACUGUUGUACAUUGAUUGCCAAAUGAGAAGCCCAUAUGCCACCAAGGCUUUGUUCAAGGCUUCCACCGUGACUCAUGCAAGUGCGCCAGAUUCUGCACUAUUAGGGUGACUUUCUUGCCAUCGAUGGAGAAGCCAUAGGAAAGUCCCUAACCAUGUAGUGCCACCUCCAGCCAGGAGGCCGGUUGGUGGUCUGAUGGAAGCGAUAGGGUGAUGAUGAUUGCUGGCAUCUAAUUGUUUCCCAAUUUUGGGUUUUUUUUAUUUACUAGAGCGGAAAAAGGUUUGAAAUAUGGGAGGAUGAUUGGUUCCCCAUCAUAAAAACCUACAUUGUCAUAUCUUGGAAAGUGGACGGGUGGGCUUGUAUUGGGACUAGGGAUCGUUGCCGGUCAUUAAUAACGGAUGUAACAUUGGUGACCUCUGGGGUCUUGUCAAGAUUGGAGGGUAGGAGUUGCAGUCAAGGCACUCGAUUGCCUUUGUUGUCGAUUGGGAUUUCACCAUUAGAGGGGUUGACAGUAGAUGGGGUAGGGGAGAUGUAGGUCUUGAGGCCUAAUUUCCCUGGCCCAUUCUGCAGUGUGCUGGCACAACAUUAGAGGUAACGAUUAGGGCCUCUUUGCUUGGGAUUGAUCCCAUUUGCAUUUUUGGGCUGGUUGUUAGUACAUGUGGGGUCGUCGUUGCUGAGACACGCCUUUCUUUUGGACCCAGUAUUUUGAGCUCCAUGUGGGCUUGGGUAAGGCACAUGCCUUGUCCAUCUUAGGACACUAUUAUCUUUUUUUAUUGGGCCCCGAUUCUUUCUGCUGAUUCUUUUUUGAGUUUUUUCAGUUUGGGUUUGUCUGUUCAAUAAUUGGGGUGUUACCUGGGAGCUUAUCGUGGAUAUUUACCUGGCUUGACUCCGUGAGUUUGUUAGUAAAAAAUUUUCUGGGUUGACCUUCUAUGCUUGGAUGUGUUCUUGGUUGACCCUGCCUUCGUCUCCUUUGAAACAUGAUUGUUUUCCAUUAACCCUCUUUUGGAAUAGAACUUUUCUGGCUGUGAGUCUGCUGGUUAUCGGAUGCUUGUGGUUGGUUUUGGUUUUGCCUAAAGGAACAUGAUAAUGUUGUGUGACCUAUUCUUCCACAAUUUGCACAGAGGGUUCCAUCCCCUUCGUAUAGGACUAUUUGUUUGUGGCCGGCGAUAAUCACUGAGGUUUCCACUGGGGACUCUAGUGGGACUUGGAUGCAGAUGCGAGCAUACCUCCUUCUUAGUGUGGAGGAUGUGCAUUGAUCAAUUUUAGGAGCUUACCAAGCUUUCUCCCAGCUUUUUCCAAUUUUACUUUAUCAUAGAACUCAGUAGGGAGUUAUGGAAGCCUUAUCCAGAUGUCAGUGGAGAUGGGUAUUGCUUCUUGUAAAACAAACUUUGGUUCCCAUUUCCUGACCGAGAGGAAGUGUCCUGAUAUGAACCAUGGCCCUUGGUGGAGUGCCUUCACCAUACUGUCUUCCAGAUUAAAUUUUACUAUAGAGAAGUCCCAACCUAGGUCAAUCAAGAUUAAUUGUUCAGAUGGUUUUCAUAGUUCAAUUAAUUUGGAGCGCAGUAUGUGGUGAGGCACUUUUCUUUUGAAAACUUUGAAGAUAACUAAGAAUUUCCAUGGCUUGUAUAGUCUUUCUUUAUCCUCGGGUGUUAGAGGGAUUGCCCCUUCGAUGUGUUUUUUUUUUUGUACCCUUUUGGGAUGGACUGGUUUUCUAUAUCGUAGUAACUUCCAUGGUUGCAACUUUGUUUAUCUAGGAAUGUUUCCUUGUAGAUUUGCAUUGGCGCUUUCUACCUUCAUUUGGGUUGGCUUAUCCGACGGUUGGGGUGGGAGGGUUGGUAUGAUUUGAGUUGAUUACAUUUGCUACAGUAGUGGUUUGGGAGAGAGAGUAAUAAAGGUUCGUUUUUUUUUUCAUCUACUUUUAUUCUUGUGUUCUUUUAUUCUAUAGCUUGGAUUAAUGUUUAAAAUUAUUAAUAAUCUUUUUGAGAAUUAUUUAUUUAUAUUUAUUUUAUUAUUUAUAUUACUAAAAGUAUAAAUUUUCUCACAUUAUUCCCACCUCCUUUUGAGCAGUAGUAGUAGUAUUAUUUAAGUCCCAUUCGGUGGCAUAAGGUAUUGCGCAACUUUUUAUUAUGUGUUAUGAACUGUGUGUAGCCGAGUUCAGUUACCGGAUGAUUCGGAGUCAAAUUGGAAGAAGAAUUUAAUAGUUUUGGAAGCUUAUGCGGUAAGAGUUGACCAAAAUUUGACUUUUAUGUAAAUGACUCCGGAAGAGGUUUUGGAUAAUGUUAACAACUUUGUAUAGUGAUUUUAGACUUAGGUGUACGUCUGUAUUUUGAUUUGGAGAUCCGUAGGGUAAUUUGAAGAAUUUUGGCGGAAGUUGGAAAAGUUGAAGUUUGGAAGGUGGAGAGGUUUGACCAAUAUUUGACUUUGGUGAUAUCGCAAUCGGAAUGCAAUUUCGAGAGCUGGAGAAACUCUGUUGUGUCAUUUGGAACUUACCUGCAAAAUUUGACGUUAUUCCGAGUUGACUUGGCAGGUUUUGGCGUGAAUUUUAAAAGUUGGAAGAUUUGAAAGUUCAUAAAUUCAAUUCAAGGUGUUAUUCAUAGUUUUGACAUUUUUGAUGUGAUUUGCAACCUCGAGCGAGUCUGUGUUGGGUUAUGAAACUUGUUGGUAUGUUUAGAAGGGGCCCGAGGGCCUCUUGUGUGUUUCAUAUGGGCUAUAGCCAUUUCUUUCUAUUUUUGGACUAUUGUUUUAUGUCAUCUAGUUUUUUUCAUCGCAUUUGCAUCCUAGUAUCUGCAUUCGUGUACUGUUAUUUUGGAGGAUGAAAUAUUUACUCUUUGCGUUCGCACUCUUCUGCUCGGGUUCGCGAAAGAUUGCAUUUCCUUUCUUCGUCGUUCGCGUAGUAGAAACUAAGAGCUGGGUGCUGGAGACUAUUUCCUCUCGCGUUCGUGUCCUUCUUCCCGCGUUCCCGAAGGUAUGCAAUUCCUUUCUUCACGUUCGUGUACUUCUUUAUGCGUUUACGUAGCCCAAUUGUUGGGCCAUCAGAUUUUUCUCUCUGCAUUCGCGAGUGAUCUGUCAUCUUCAUGAAGCACAUCUUGGCAGCCUUCAUUUUUCUCUUCAUGAACAUGAUACGUCUUCUGCGUUUGCGAUGCUUUAAUACCUGGGCAGAAUAUAUAGUACUCUAUUCCGAGGGUUAGCUAGUUUCACCAUUUUUGGAGUUCUAGAAGUCGGGUUUGAGCGAUUCUUUGUGGGUUAUUCAAGAAAAUCGAUUGGGUGAGUGUACUUCGCUUAGAAUUUAUUAUAUUCCAUGAAUAUAUCUUUAUAUUUAUCAUUAAAUUAGUGUUUUGAGUUGAGGAAAAAUGGUAAUUUUUGAAGAAAAUUUUCAAAAUAUAAAAAUGAUGAUUUGAUGGGCGAAAUGUUAUCGGAACUUGAUAAUUUUUGUAUAGUUGAACUUGUAUCGGAAUGGUUGUUCAAAUUUUAUGAAAUUUGUCGGGUUUCGAGAUGCAGGCCCGAGGGUCGACUUUUGGGUUGAUUUUUAGUUUUUGAUAAAAGAUUGAGGCGUUAUGAUCCAGAAUAGUUUCUUAUGAAUUUUAUUUAUGCUUUGAAGUUGUUUUGGCUGGAUUUAGCUGUCCGGAGGUUAUUUCACCUGAGAAGUUUGUUUUAGAGUAUCGUCUGUCUGUUUGUAGUAAGUAUCUUGCCUAACGUCGUGUGGGGGAACUACCCAUUAGAAUUUGAGUAUUCUAUGAUAAUUGUGUCAUGUAAAGUUUAUGCACAUGAGGUGACGAGUCGGGCUUAUUAGUGGAAAGUUGGCCUUUUAGGGUUCUUAGGUCCUUAUAUUCACCGAGUAUGAAGUUAUUUUGUUAUGAUUAGGUUUCCUAUUUACUAGUUUCACCUCUACAUGCUUUAAUAUCAAAUUAAUCGCUUCGUGAUCCACUCUUAUAUCCUAAUUGACUCCGAUAUGAUUUAACUGAAAUUGUUACCUCUUCUAUUGUUAUGCCAUCCCUCUCUAAUCGCUUCUUCUUAAUUGAAAGUAUAAUUAUCUCUUAUGUAAUUAUUCAUCCUUAAUUGAGGUUAUGAUUAUUUAUUUGUUGCUUAUCCUUAAUUAAAUUUGUUGUAUCUCUUUUGUAAUUGCUUAACCUUAAAAGAAGUUUAAAUAUCCUAUAUGUUAUCCUUAUUUGGAAUUAUUGACUCGUGUAUCUCCCUUGUUGUUGAAUUGUACUUUGUGGGAUCUUUGUUACAUAUUAUUUUCUCCUUUGUUGAGUUAUUCUUAUUAUGACUAGUAUUCUCAAUUUUUGGUUAUUCCUUGUGAACUAGUUCCGCCUUUUCUUUGUGAUCGAAAGCUCUUAAAUUGAUUUACUUUCCAUACUCUUGUGUUAUUAUCAUUAUUCCUGCGGUAAUCAAUAUUGCGGUGCAAGAGGUUUCUACUAUGCUGUUGUAAUUGUGAUUCACGAGAUUUUUGUUGUGCGAUUGGGGUAUUGUUGCACGAGGUUUCUGCCAUACUAUUAUUACUAUUGAUUAUGCACAUGCGGCAUGGCAAGGCGGGCUAUAUCUGUGUCUUUUUAUAUGAGGCGAGACAGGGUGAGAAUAUUAUUAUACACGUGUGGCGAGAAAAGGCAGGCAUUUACUUUAUUAUUGCAUACGUGGCGAGACAAGGUGGAUUAUAUCAAUAUUGAUUUGUGAUGACGUGUGAUGUCCUGGGGCAUUCUUGUUGUUAAUGUUGGAAACACGUUCUCAAGGCCUUAUACUAAAACGUGUGUUCUUAUGUGUAGGUUUUUAUGAAUGACAAACAAGCGGAAAUUGAUAUAUGACGAAGUUCAAGUACAAGCGCACAAUUGGUGGAUAACGAGAUUCAAGCAGAAGACAAAGUUUUAUAGUUUAAAUGAGUCGUUCUUAAUUGAGAUCAUGAUCCGACAACUUGACUCAUGACAUGGC